This 5735-nucleotide long non-coding RNA is filed under the name Gossypium barbadense (sea-island cotton). RNAcentral describes it as "long non-coding RNA (GBAR_LNC005035)". Lineage: Eukaryota; Viridiplantae; Streptophyta; Magnoliopsida; Malvales; Malvaceae. The record is from RNAcentral.
ACACUUAAGACAUCCUAGAUAUAUGCCAUUACCAAUAAUUAACAUGCUUUACCUUUUUGAGCUUCAGGAUCGACUUAUGAUGCUAAUUCGACGACCUGUCUUUAACCUAACCUGUGCACGAAAACAAACCGUACGCUGAGUAUGAAUUCAGUGAUAUUUCUAUAAACCGAUACUUAAGUCAAUAAUAAAUCAUAUAUCAAUGAACCUUGAGAAUUCAAUCUAUUACUCCUAAUAGUUCAAUCAUUUGUUUUUGAUAUAUAAUGCUAAGAUCAUGUUAAUCACUUUCGAUGAAAUGUAUACAGUUUCAAUGUUUAUUCAUUAUCCGUCGAUUUUUCAUAUUUAUUCAGUAAUAACCUGUGAUUAGUAUCAUUCAGACAUUCAGUAGCAGUCCAUUAUUCAGUAACAAUUAGUUUUUCAGUACUUUUAUUUACAAUUCAUUUGAGUAAUAAUAUUAUUCAGCUUUCAUUCAAUAUUCUGUACCAUCUCAUUUCAAUAACAGUCAAUAUUCAAUAGCAGACAGACUUUAAUACUUUUCAUUACCCCUAUUAACAUGACUCGGACCUAGACGGAUACACGGAUCCAACUCACACACCGAGGAUAGUAUACAGUGUUUCAUCAGCCGAAGCCAAAAUACACCGUAAGGGUAGCAAUAACAGUAACAGUAACAGUAGCGGUACACAAAGUACCUCAUCAGAACAAAUUUGGAACAGUAACAGUAACAGUCAAAUACGGAGUACCUCUUCGGAACGAAUCCGGAACAGUCAUAGUAGUCGACAUAUAUAGUGUCUCAUCGACACACAGUCAGAAUAUCCCUGAACACUUCCAAUCCUAUGACAUGCCAACUAUAUCCGACUAGCCUGAUACAAUUAAUAGGGUAUUCAAUAAACUUUCAAAUUUUCAAUUUUAUUUGUAAUUUAAUUUCAAUUCAAUUUAAUACAUUUUUCCAUAUCAAUCCACAUGCAAAUCAAUUUCAAUGCAAUAUACAUUUUUCAGUUUUCCACUCAAUAUUCACAUAUUCUAUUCAAUAUCAAUAAUCACUAAUAAUUCAUAAAUUUUUUAUUCAAUUCAAUAUCAUAAUAAUAAUACUUACCAUUCAUAUAAAUAAUAAAUUCAACAAAUAAUUAUUAGAUUUGGUUUAUAAAAAUACAAACCGUAGUUUUCAAGCUAACUCCUGUUGUCUUUGUCUUGUCCUUACUUAGUCGAGAUUUCCCGAGAUAACGUUAGCUACGAAAAUUAAAAUAAUUAUACCAUUAACUUUCAGCACUCAUUAUAACAAUUAAUUGAAUUUCUAUUCAAUUUACACCUUAUUUCCAAUUUAGGUCCUAACUAAUUCAUUCACUUUACUAACUUAAUUCAUUCUCCAUUUCUAUUCAAAUUCCAUCCAAACUCAAAUUUAAUUAUUAAAUUUUCACCUUAUCUCAUUAAUUUCGAAAUUUCCUCAAAUUAACCCCUACAACAUAAAACUUAUGAAUUACUUAACAAUUCAAUCCUUAUUUCAUUUCUAACUUGAAUUUCUAUCAAUUUAGCCCUUAAUUCAUCAUUUUAUUUAACAUAAACAAUAUUUAGAAAUCUAAUAAUUUUAAAAAUCUUAAUUUAAUUUCAUCAAAACUUUGUUCCAAAGCUUCUAAAACAUUAAAAUUAAGUAAAAAUGGCUAAAUUGACUUACCUAUUAAACUUCCAAGCUUCAAAAUCCCUAUUUUCCAUUUUUUCCUUUCUUUUUCUCCUUCCUUUCUUCUCUAUUUCUUUCUAUUCUUUUUCUUUUUCUUUUACUUUGUUCUAUUUUAUAUAUAAUAAUAAUAAUAAUAACUUACAUAAUAAGUAAAUAUACAUGUAUUUUACAAAUGUAGAUAUACUAAUAUUACACAUGUCACUAUACAUACCAUACAUUUGUCAACUUUUUAUUUAUUUUUCACAUAAAAAUCUUAUAAUAUAAUUAUUUAAUUAAUAAAUAUAUUUUAUAAAUAAUAAAUAUAUAUUAAUACUUAAAUACAAGCAUUACAAGUGUAUGUAUUUUUAUUAAUACACUUGUACCCAAUCAUUACCACACAUUUGUCUUACUUUUAUUUAUUUAUCAUAUAAUAUCAAUUUAAUAAUAAUAAAUACAUUAAUAUUUACUUAAAUAAUAAGCAAAUACAUACAUAUAUUACAAAUGUGUGUAUUAUAUUUAUUACACUUGUAGACACUUGGCACUCUUUUUGGCUUAUUUACUCAUUUAGUCCCUUCAAUUUUUUUAUUCUAUAAUUAAACUUUCACACUAUAUUCAAUUUAAUCCUUUUAUCCAAUUAUCCUUAAUUUAAGCUAAUUCACUUAAUUAAACUCUAAUUAAUCACUCAAUUAACUUCGUAAAUAUUUAUUACGAAUCCAUUUUUUAGAAACGGAGACCUGAAAAUAUACUUUUCCGGUAACGGUAAAAUUCAGGUCAUUACAUCAUUGAUGUGAAGAUAGAAUUAAAUUGGGAGAUGGAAAAGGAAGAGAUGUACUGGGAGCAGAGGGCGAGAUCGAAUUAGCUUAGCUAAGGGGACAGAAAUACGGCUUUCUUCCAUAGUCAAGCGUCCCAAAGAUGCAGAAUAAAUCGUAUCCGAGGGAUGGAGGAUAAAGAAGGUAUUCUCAAAACGGAAAGAAGAAGAUAUGGAAAUCAUAAUAAGGAGCUACUUUAUGAAGCUAUUCGAAUCUAAAGGAGUUGGUAAUACAAAUCACCUACUCUUAGGUUUUCGCUGCAGUAUUUCUGACAGUAUGGAUCAAAUGCUGGCUAAAGAUUAUAAAGAGGAGGAAAUUUUUGAAGCAAUAAAUAGUAUAGGGUCGACAAAAGCUUCUAGACUUGAUGGAUUUUCUGCAAUCUUCAUUGAAAAAUUUUGGCAUAUUAUAGGGAGGGAGGUAAGUGAUUUUUGCUUGGAAGUUCUUAAUAAAGGAAAAUCUCUUGAUCUUUUAAACCAUACGAAUAUCGUGCUAAUCCUAAAGAAUCCCACCCAAAAAGCCCAUCAGAAUUUAGACCAAUUAGCAUUUGCUCCGUCUUUUAUAAAAUAAUUUCAAAAUCUAUAGCAAACAGACUACAGAAAGUACUUGAUUUUUGCAUCGAUCCAGCUUAAAGCGCCUUUGUAUCGGGUGGAUUAAUUACAAAUAAUGUUCUUCUUGCAUAUGAAAUUCUACAAUCUAUGAAGAAUAAAAGGAUGGGGAAAAAAGGUCUGAUGGCUCUUAAGAUUGAUAUGAGCAAAGCCUAUGAUCGGGUGGAAUGGAAUUUCUUGGAACAAAUGAUGGCUAAAAUGGGAUUUUAUGAGUCUUGAAUUUAGCUUAUUAUGAGAUGCAUCAGUACGGUUUCGUAUUCAAUCAUUUUGAAUGGAAAGUCAGGGGAAGUGUUUCGUCCAGAGAGAGGCCUACAUCAAGGGGACCCUUUGAGUCCUUUUCUGUUCCUUAUAUACAGUGAGGGACUGUCUACAUUAUUAAGACUUGCAAGCGAGGAAGGAAUGCUGAAAGGAAUAAAGGCGAGUAGACGAGGCCCUCAGAUUACUCGCCUUCUUUUUGUAGAUGAUUGCGUGCUGUUUGGGGAAGCAAAUGAAAAAGGUGCAAAAACUUUUGGAAAGAUCUUAAAAGAGUACGAAGCCUGUUCGGGACAAUCCAUUAAUUAUGGAAAGUCAACAGUUUUCUUUAGCUCAAACACAACUGAAAUGAUUUGUUUAGCUAUCUCAAAUAAAUUGAGGGUGAAACGAACGAAUAACACAGAAAAAUAUCUGGGCUUGCCAAAUAUGGUGGGAAAGAGGAAAAGGUUAGCAUUCCAACACCUUAAAGAUCGAAUUAAAGCAAAAAUUAACUGUAGGAGUUCUCAAUUACUAUUGCAAGGGGAAAAGAAGUUUUCAUUAAAUCUGUGCUACAAGCAAUUCCAGCAUAUACAAUGGGAUGUUUUUUAUUACCGAAGUCAGUAUGCGUUGAUAUGGAACAAAUUAUAGCCAAGCAUUGGUGGUAAAAAGGGUUCGGGAGAAGGGGGAUACAUUGGUAGUCAUGGAAUAACUUAUGUGAAUUAAAUGAAUUCAGUGGUCUUGGUUAUUGUAAUUUUGCAAAUUUUAAUUUAGCCCUCUUCGCUAAGCAAGGAUGGCGAUUAAUUGAAAACCCCAAUUCUCUUUUAGCACAGAUGUUAAAGGCCAAAUAUUAUUUGAAUACUGAUUUUCUAAACUCAAAGCUAGGAAACUUACCUUCAUAUACUUGGAAAAUUAUAUGGGCUGCAAAAGGCCUUUUGCGGACUGGAUUAUGUUGGAGGGUGGGAAACGGCCGAAAUAUAAGUAUUGAAGAGGAUGUCUGGGCUCCGAAGGAUGAAAAUCUACAUAUUCAAAAAAUAGUAAGAAAUCAGAAUUUAUUGAAGGUAGCAGACCUAAUUGAUAGCAAUGCUAGAUCAUGGAAAACAGAGUUGAUUACAGAUACCUUUUCCGUAGAAGAUGCUCAGAGAAUACUCCAAAUCCCGCUUGCUCACUCCCGAUAGGACAACUUUAUGGCUUGGAGAGGCGAACCAACAGGCGAAUAUACAGUCCAAAGUGGGUACAGAUUACUCUUUCGAGGCAAUUCCAUCAAUAAUAAUAGAUACAAGCCAAAUGAAAACAGGAAAUGUUGCAAAAAAAUGUGGAAUAGUGACCUCCCCUCAAAAUUAAAAAUUAGAGCCUGGAGAGCCACUCUAAACUACCUUCCUACACUAUCAAAUCUACGCAUUAAAAGACUAGCUAAUGACGCCGUCUGCCCGAGAUGUCAGCAAGGUGUGGAGAAUAUGGAUCACGUCUUUCGAGAAUGCGCUACUUCAAGGGAAACAUGGAAUAGCUUAAAAUAUGACUGGCCUGAAAGAAUAGCAAAUCUGAAAUUUAUGGAAUGGUUUACUUGGAUCAUGCUAAGCAGCAGUACUGAUAUCUGUCGAUCAUUUCUAUGCACCAUUUGGGUUAUCUAGUCGGCUAGAAACAAAUGGAUUCACGAGGGUAAGAAAAUGUCAGGGACAGAGACGGCAAGAUUCAGCUUACAGUACUUACAAGAACUAAAUAACAUUAAAUGGGAAAAACUUGCCUUUAGCCCGAUAAGUGCAGAAUGGAGGCCUCCGAUUCAAGGUAUCUACAAAAUCAAUUUCGAUGCAGCAGUGGACCUUAAAACACAAAGGUCAUGUUCGGGACUCAUAGUCAGAGACUGGAAAGGGAAAAUCCUAGCCACAAAAACCAUAAAUCAUGAGAAUAUACCUUCGAGGUUUGCAGCCGAGUCUGUUGCAUGUUUACAGGCAGUUAUCUUAGGAAGGGAUCUAGGAUUAAAGUUUGUUGACAUUGAAGGGGAUUUUUUGACAGUGAUAAAAAAAGCUCAAACUAAGAGCAUAGACAAGUCGGUAAUCGGCGUAGACAUUCAAGACAUUCAAGAAAUGUGCAAGAUUUUCUAUGAAAGUAAGUUCAUUUAUGUACGAAGAAAAGCAAACGAACAAGCGCAUGAUCCGGUAUCAAAAGGCUUAAAAAUGGUAGAAAAGACUUACAUUAUUCACAGACCAGUUGCUGAGGGCGUCACAGAGGUAGAAAUUGAUCGAGGAUGGGGGUGAAGAAUUCCAACAGGUGGAUGAUUUAGAGAAGGAACCCUAAUGAAUACCAGUCUUUUGUCCUUCUCCAAGAGCUGUAAAUGAAAAUGAAGAUAUUUUAAGAAGAUUUUUAGGAAAUAACAGCUCAUUAAUGUUGGGUUGUCUUUUCAUGUCUUUUAUUAUUUUUGUUUUGCAAAGAGUGGCAGGCCCUUCG